Molecule: ribosomal RNA, 373 nt
Filed under: uncultured bacterium
Lineage: Bacteria
Description: bacterial SSU rRNA
Rfam family: Bacterial small subunit ribosomal RNA
Source: RNAcentral
ACACGUAAGGGGCAAGCGUUGUUCGGAAUUAUUGGGCGUAAAGGGCGUGUAGGCGGUUUUGUAAGCCUGGUGUAAAAGGUGUACGCUUAACGUACAUAGGUCGCUGGGGACUGCGAGACUAGAGUUUAGGAAGGGGAGCUGGAAUUCCAGGUGUAGGGGUGAAAUCUGUAGAUAUCUGGAAGAACACCAAUGGCGAAGGCAAGCUUCUGGCCAUAGACUGACGCUGAGGCGCGAAAGCGUGGGGAGCAAACAGGAUUAGAUACCCUGGUAGUCCACGCUGUAAACGAUGUGCACUAGGUGUUGGUGCGAAUGCAUCAGUGCCGAAGUUAACGCGAUAAGUGCACCGCCUGGGGAGUAUGCUCGCAAGGGUGAA